UGCGUAGGCGGACUAAUAAGUCAGUGGUGAAAUCUCUCGGCUCAACCGGGAAACUGCCAUUGAUACUGUUAGUCUUGAGUUCGGUUGAGGUAGGCGGAAUGUGUAAUGUAGCGGUGAAAUGCUUAGAUAUUACACAGAACACCAAUUGCGUAGGCAGCUUACUAGACCGACACUGACGCUGAGGCACGGAAGCGUGGGGAGCGAACAGGAUUAGAUACCCUGGUAGUCC
RNAcentral lists this ribosomal RNA (229 nucleotides) under uncultured bacterium. Its description in RNAcentral is "partial 16S ribosomal RNA". It matches the Rfam family "Bacterial small subunit ribosomal RNA", at positions 568 to 796 of the family's 1533-position model. The record is from RNAcentral.